RNAcentral lists this long non-coding RNA (302 nucleotides) under Androctonus crassicauda. The record is from RNAcentral. Lineage: Eukaryota; Metazoa; Arthropoda; Arachnida; Scorpiones; Buthidae.
GGAAAAUGCUUGGACUUCUGAAAAUAGACGUUUAAAGUGGGAAAGUCGUACGAUACGGGAACGCAUGAGCGGGGUUUCACUGUAUAUAUUUUUGCUUCUUCUUUCUCUCCUCAGCCAGAAGGUUAGUAGGCAGUGUGGCUAUUUUUUAGUAAAUUGUGUGAAUAUGCUAGUUUUUAAUAUUUCCAUCUCUCUUGCCAUUUGUUAUGUUAUCCAUAAAUCUGUUUCUUGGUCUUCCUCUGUGGUGGUUUCCAUUCAUUUUUCCUUCUAUUAUGUUAGUAAACUACUUUGAAUGUCUAAUUAGG